CACGUAUUUAGCCGUCACUUCUUCUGUUGGUACCGUCAUUUCUUUCUUCCCAACUGAAAGCACUUUACAUUCCGAAAACUUCAUCGUGCACACAGAAUUGCUGGAUCAGACUCUCGGUCCAUUGUCCAAUAUUCCCCACUGCUGCCUCCCGUAGGAGUAAGGGCCGUGUCUCAGUCCCCUUGUGGCCGUUCACCCUCUCAGGCCGGCUACCCAUCAUCGCCUUGGUGAGCUGUUACCUCUCCAACUAGCUAAUGGGACGCAAAGCUCUCUCACAGUGCUUAUAGCUUUCAUAAUUCUAAGAUGCCUUAAAAUCAUAAUAUCAGGUAUUAGCAUUCAUUUCUAAAUGUUGUCCCUAGCUGUGAGGCAAGUUCUUACGCGUUACUCACCCGUCCGCCACCCAAAUCUAAGUUAAAACCCAAAUUACAAGUUGACUUGCAUGUGUUAAGCAUUCUGUCAGCGUUCAUCCUGAGCCAGGAUCAAACUCU
This 485-nucleotide ribosomal RNA is filed under the name uncultured Fusobacterium sp. RNAcentral describes it as "partial 16S ribosomal RNA". The record is from RNAcentral. Lineage: Bacteria; Fusobacteriati; Fusobacteriota; Fusobacteriia; Fusobacteriales; Fusobacteriaceae.